UACGGGGGGGGCAAGCGUUGUUCGGAAUUACUGGGCGUAAAGGGCUCGUAGGUGGCCAACUAAGUCAGACGUGAAAUCCCUCGGCUUAACCGGGGAACUGCGUCUGAUACUGGAUGGCUUGAGUUCGGGAGAGGGAUGCGGAAUUCCCGGUGUAGCGGUGAAAUGCGCAGAUAUCGGGAAGAACACCCGUGGCGAAGGCGGCUCUCUGGGACGGUACUGACGCUGAGACGCGAAAGCGUGGGGGGCGAACAGG
This 253-nucleotide ribosomal RNA is filed under the name uncultured bacterium. Its description in RNAcentral is "partial 16S ribosomal RNA". It matches the Rfam family "Bacterial small subunit ribosomal RNA", at positions 524 to 776 of the family's 1533-position model. The record is from RNAcentral.